GGUAAGGCUCCCAGUAGACGACUGGGUUGAUAGGCCGGAUCUGGAAGCACGGUAACGUGUGGAGGUGACCGGUACUAAUAGGCCGAGGGCUUGUCCU
This 97-nucleotide ribosomal RNA is filed under the name Streptomyces sp. Amel2xC10. Its description in RNAcentral is "23S rRNA. Bacterial LSU". It matches the Rfam family "Bacterial large subunit ribosomal RNA", at positions 2827 to 2925 of the family's 2925-position model. Lineage: Bacteria; Bacillati; Actinomycetota; Actinomycetes; Kitasatosporales; Streptomycetaceae. The record is from RNAcentral.